RNAcentral lists this ribosomal RNA (500 nucleotides) under uncultured Myrionecta. RNAcentral's name for it is "SSU rRNA". It matches the Rfam family "Eukaryotic small subunit ribosomal RNA", at positions 34 to 598 of the family's 1831-position model. The record is from RNAcentral. Lineage: Eukaryota; Ciliophora; Litostomatea; Cyclotrichida; Mesodiniidae.
CUGUUCAAGACUAGCCAUGCACGUCUAAGUACAAACUAAAUGAUGGUGAAACUGCAAAUGGCUCAUUACAACGGUUAUGAUGUACCCGGGAGUUCCGAUGGAUAUUUCCAGUAACACUAGAACUAAUACAUGUCCCUGCGUUUAUUAGUUUCGCACAGUCCGUCGCUGAGUCAUGGUAAACAGUUGAUCGACUCGACGUCCCGGAACAGUUUCCGCCCCAUCAGCUUCGAUGGUUGGGUAUUGGCCUACCAUUGCAACAACGGGUAACGAGGAAUUAGGGUUUGAUUUCGGAGAGGGAGCCUGAGAAACGGCUACCACAUCUACGGAUGGCAGCAGGCGCGCAAAUUACCCAAUGCAGACACUGUGAGGUAGUGACGAGAAAUAAUAAAGCGGGACUUCUGUUUCGCUAUUAUAAUGAGGAAUAACCAAAGGUCAUUCCGAUUAGCAACUGAUGGGAAAGUCUGGUGCCAGCAGCCGCGGUAAUACCAGCGUCAGUAGCA